This 67-nucleotide transfer RNA is filed under the name Euretaster insignis. RNAcentral describes it as "tRNA-Gly". It matches the Rfam family "tRNA". Rfam says of the family: Transfer RNA (tRNA) molecules are approximately 80 nucleotides in length. Lineage: Eukaryota; Metazoa; Echinodermata; Asteroidea; Velatida; Pterasteridae. The record is from RNAcentral.
GUUUUAUUAGUAUAAAAGUAUGUUUGAUUUCCAAUCAAGAGGUUUUUGAGAAUUCAAAAAUAAAAUA